This 912-nucleotide ribosomal RNA is filed under the name Chaenothecopsis vainioana. RNAcentral describes it as "eukaryotic LSU rRNA". The stretch from base 277 to 912 matches the Rfam family "Eukaryotic large subunit ribosomal RNA", at positions 1 to 652 of the family's 3401-position model. Lineage: Eukaryota; Fungi; Ascomycota; Eurotiomycetes; Mycocaliciales; Mycocaliciaceae. The record is from RNAcentral.
GAAAUGCGAUAAGUAAUGUGAAUUGCAGAAUUUAGUGAAUCAUCGAAUCUUUGAACGCACAUUGCGCCCCCUGGUAUUCCGGGGGGCAUGCCUGUUCGAGCGUCAUUAUCAACCCUCAAGCCCGGCUUGCUGUUGAGCUUCCCGUCUGCCCGUCUCCGGGUGGACCGGCUCGAAAAUCGGUGACGGCCCCGGCCAGUCUCCAGCGCAGUACGAUUUACAUCACCGCUGACGAGACUUGCCCGGAGCGCCGGACAGCCCACCCCAUAUUUCUAUGAUUGACCUCGGAUCAGGUAGGGAUACCCGCUGAACUUAAGCAUAUCAAUAAGCGGAGGAAAAGAAACCAACAGGGAUUGCCUCAGUAACGGCGAGUGAAGCGGCAACAGCUCAAAUUUGAAAUCUGGCUCCUUCGGGGUCCGAGUUGUAAUUUGCAGAGGAUGUUUCGGGUUCGGCUGCAGUCUAAGUUCCUUGGAACAGGACGUCAUGGAGGGUGAGAAUCCCGUGUGGGACUGCCGGCCACGCCCAUGUGAAACGCCUUCGACGAGUCGAGUUGUUUGGGAAUGCAGCUCAAAAUGGGUGGUAAAUUUCAUCUAAAGCUAAAUAUUGGCCAGAGACCGAUAGCGCACAAGUAGAGUGAUCGAAAGAUGAAAAGCACUUUGGAAAGAGAGUUAAAAAGCAUGUGAAAUUGUUGAAAGGGAAGCGCUUGCAACCAGACUUGGCCCCGGGUGCUCAGGCGGCGUUCUCGCCGUCGCACUCGCCCGGGGACAGGCCAGCAUCGGUUCAGGCGGCCGGACAAAGGCUCCCGGAAUGUAGCUUCCUUCGGGGAGUGUUAUAGCCGGGGGUGCAAUGCGGCCCGCCUGGACCGAGGAACGCGCUUCGGCCCGGAUGCUGGCGUAAUGGUUGCAAGCGGCCCGU